UACGGGGGGAGCAAGCGUUGUUCGGAUUUACUGGGCGUAAAGGGCGCGUAGGCGGCCACUGCAAGUCAGUGGGGAAAUCUCCGGGCUUAACCCGGAAAGGUCAACUGAUACUGCAGGGCUAGAGUGCAGAAGGGGCAACUGGAAUUCUCGGUGUAGCGGUGAAAUGCGUAGAUAUCGAGAGGAACACCUGCGGCGAAGGCGGGUUGCUGGGCUGACACUGACGCUGAUGUGCGAAAGCUAGGGGAGCGAACGGG
Molecule: ribosomal RNA, 254 nt
Filed under: uncultured bacterium
Lineage: Bacteria
Description: partial 16S ribosomal RNA
Rfam family: Bacterial small subunit ribosomal RNA
Source: RNAcentral